AUGGCCUGGGCGCUGCUCCUCCUCCUCCUCCUCCUUCACUGCACAGCCAGACUCACCUGCACCCUGAGCAGUGGCUAUAGUGUUGGCGGCUAUGAUAUAUACUGGUACCAGCAGAAACUAGGGACCUUUCCUAGGUAUCUACUGAGAUUCUACUCAGACUCAGAUAAGCACCAGGGCCCUGGGGUCCCCAGCCGCUUCUUUGGGUCCAAAGAUGCCUCGGCCAAUGCAGGGCUUCUGCUCAUCUCUGGGCCACAGCCUGAGGACAAGGCUGACUCUUCCUGUGCUACAGCUCAUGGCAGUGGGAGCAGCUUUGGCUACUCACAGUGA
Non-coding RNA from Herpailurus yagouaroundi (jaguarundi), 327 nucleotides. NCBI's taxonomy places the organism in Eukaryota, Metazoa, Chordata, Mammalia, Carnivora, Felidae. The record is from the annotation of a RefSeq genome assembly.